Molecule: transfer RNA, 73 nt
Filed under: Endomicrobium sp.
Lineage: Bacteria; Pseudomonadati; Elusimicrobiota; Endomicrobiia; Endomicrobiales; Endomicrobiaceae
Description: tRNA-Gly
Rfam family: tRNA
About the family: Transfer RNA (tRNA) molecules are approximately 80 nucleotides in length.
Source: RNAcentral
GCGGGCGUAGUUCAAUUGGUAGAAUAUAUCGUUGCCAACGAUAAGAUUGUGGGUUCAAGUCCCAUCGCCCGCU